GCGCGGGGUCGAAUGGGCGGCGGGCGGCGACGGGGACCUGAGGGCGUGUGCUGAGGUCUGGCCUGUGCCUCGCGGGGCCCGCCUCUGAGCGGCGCGGGGCGGAGGGCGGCGACCUGCAGCUUGCAGUCCAAGAGCUCGAAAAAGGGGCAGGGAGUGCGUGCUCUUCAGACAAACUGUAGAUGUCCUGGGCUUCAAGAUGAAGGCAGCAGACUCACAACCCACAGGCAUGUUCCACAAUGAAUUUUGGAAUCCACACCGUGAACUUCAAGAAUGUCUGAACUGGAAUUGUCGUAAAGAAACUGAUCCUGCAUGUGAGACGGCUGUGCCUGCUCACCAGAUCCUAGCCUUUCCUGA
This is a long non-coding RNA of Panthera uncia (snow leopard), 354 nucleotides long. RefSeq lists it as uncharacterized. The transcript has 3 exons. The record is from RefSeq and is a predicted model, not a curated record. Lineage: Eukaryota; Metazoa; Chordata; Mammalia; Carnivora; Felidae.